GUGCAGUUAGUAUAGUGGUAGUACGCUCGCCCCUCUGAGUUGAGUAUCCCGGGUUCGACCCCCGGACUGCACA
This 73-nucleotide transfer RNA is filed under the name Neurospora tetrasperma FGSC 2508. RNAcentral describes it as "tRNA-Arg (TCT) (tRNA-Arg-TCT-4-1)". It matches the Rfam family "tRNA". From Rfam's summary of the family: Transfer RNA (tRNA) molecules are approximately 80 nucleotides in length. Their secondary structure includes four short double-helical elements and three loops (D, anti-codon, and T loops). Further hydrogen bonds mediate the characteristic L-shaped molecular structure. tRNAs have two regions of fundamental functional importance: the anti-codon, which is responsible for specific mRNA codon recognition, and the 3' end, to which the tRNAs corresponding amino acid is attached (by aminoacyl-tRNA synthetases). tRNAs cope with the degeneracy of the genetic code in two manners: having more than one tRNA (with a specific anti-codon) for a particular amino acid; and 'wobble' base-pairing, i.e. permitting non-standard base-pairing at the 3rd anti-codon position. The record is from RNAcentral. RNAcentral also lists the same sequence under 1 other name. Lineage: Eukaryota; Fungi; Ascomycota; Sordariomycetes; Sordariales; Sordariaceae.